This 466-nucleotide ribosomal RNA is filed under the name uncultured bacterium. Its description in RNAcentral is "partial 16S ribosomal RNA". It matches the Rfam family "Bacterial small subunit ribosomal RNA", at positions 28 to 507 of the family's 1533-position model. The record is from RNAcentral.
GACGAACGCUGGCGGCGUGCUUAACACAUGCAAGUCGAACGGAAAGGCCCUGCUUGCAGGGUACUCGAGUGGCGAACGGGUGAGUAACACGUGGGUGAUCUGCCCUGCACUUCGGGAUAAGCCUGGGAAACUGGGUCUAAUACCGGAUAGGAGCCGUCUUUAGUGUGAUGGUUGGAAAGUUUUUUUCGGUGUAGGAUGAGCUCGCGGCCUAUCAGCUUGUUGGUGGGGUAAUGGCCUACCAAGGCGGCGACGGGUAGCCGGCCUGAGAGGGUGGACGGCCACAUUGGGACUGAGAUACGGCCCAGACUCCUACGGGAGGCAGCAGUGGGGAAUAUUGCACAAUGGGCGCAAGCCUGAUGCAGCGACGCCGCGUGGGGGAUGACGGCCUUCGGGUUGUAAACUCCUUUCGCUAGGGACGAAGCUUUUUGUGACGGUACCUAGAUAAGAAGCACCGGCUAACUACGUG